This 450-nucleotide ribosomal RNA is filed under the name uncultured bacterium. Its description in RNAcentral is "bacterial SSU rRNA". It matches the Rfam family "Bacterial small subunit ribosomal RNA", at positions 354 to 796 of the family's 1533-position model. The record is from RNAcentral.
GUGGGGAAUAUUGGACAAUGGGCGAAAGCCUGAUCCAGCCAUGCCGCGUGUGUGAAGAAGGUCUUCGGAUUGUAAAGCACUUUAAGUUGGGAGGAAGGGCAGUAAGUUAAUACCUUGCUGUUUUGACGUUACCGACAGAAUAAGCACCGGCUAACUACGUGCCAGCAGCCGCGGUAAUACGUAGGGUGCAAGCGUUAAUCGGAAUUACUGGGCGUAAAGCGCGCGUAGGUGGUUCAGCAAGUUGGAGGUGAAAUCCCCGGGCUCAACCUGGGAACUGCCUCCAAAACUACUGAGCUAGAGUACGGUAGAGGGUAGUGGAAUUUCCUGUGUAGCGGUGAAAUGCGUAGAUAUAGGAAGGAACACCAGUGGCGAAGGCGACUACCUGGACUGAUACUGACACUGAGGUGCGAAAGCGUGGGGAGCAAACAGGAUUAGAAACCCCUGUAGUCC